UCAUUUCACGCGCUUACAGAACCCUAAAUCCCUCACUCUUUUCCUUCACGCUUCCUGAUUUCCCUUUGUUCUUCACCUUCAAGUCUAUGAAGUUUAAUCGAUUCUGAUUGGAUUUAAUAUGUUUCAUACCUGUUUAUUGUAGGUUUCACAUUCUAUGAAGAAAUCAUACAUCGUGAGUCAACGAUCCUGAGAUAGCAUCAUCAGCUCUCAAUCACACAAACCCUAAUCCUAAUCAUCAUCUACUCUCGGACAUCAUCAGGUUAGCUGUAUCAAUGUAACAUAUCUCUUCUUCAUCUGUUGAAUCUUUUUCAUGUUAUUUAGAUCUGGUUAAUUUGGGAUUAGGGUUCUUACAAGUCCAUCUCUGACAAUCAAAGUCGUGAAGACCAUCUCUGAUAUUAUAUUGUUAGUAUCCGGUUAAUUUGGGAUUAGGGAUUUUACAAGUUAUUGUUUAAAUUGAAACUAAUCUGGUGCAAGUCAGAAGUCAGAAGUAAUAAGCAACAGGGAUUUUGUUUUGGUUUUGUGGAAUUCAUGUCAUUGGAUUCCAUGCAUAGUGCUAUAAAGGAUUUCGUUGAUUGUUGAAAUCGAUAAAGAUUCACUCUGUUCUUGGUUCAAUCUAAACAGGUGGAAGAAAAUGAUGAAAUCAAUGGUCGUUUCAAGAUGGGAUUGUUUUCAAGAUUUAAGAAAAAAAGAGAGUGAGGGUGAGGAGGGGGUGGAGACGAGGCACUGGCAAUGAAAAAAUGUGCAGAUUCCAUAAAACUUGCAUCAAUGAUCUUGUAUCAAAAAUCUUGAAGAGCUGCUGGUGCAUAUAGCCACAGUCAGGGUCGCGACACCAUUGCUGCUGGUAUUGAAGCUCGGGAUGGUUUUCCUGCUGAUCCAAAUGAUAUCUUCUUGACAGAAGGUGCAAGUCCAGGGGUCCAUAUGAUGAUGCAGUUAUUAAUAAGAUCAGAGAAUGCUGGUCAAUGAUACACAUUUGACGAGUUGACUACCUCUCCAGAACCCAACUUCAGAAUCACUAGGUUUGAUAUCUUCUUUAGACGUAGAUAAAUAAACAAGAUUCCAGUUAGCAAACAAUGAUUGAGGCAGAUACUCGUCGCCACGGGGAAGACCCGAAUCAUAACAAACGCUUUUCAGCCGUUGAAGUUUCCUCCAAACGACGCGGCUUCAGAUGAAUCAGUUAGGGCACAUUUUCAUCAUCAUCUUUUGAGGUGGGUAUGCUUGAACAACUGGUGUAUGAAGAAGUAAUAGAAUUAAAACAAAACCCCUGGAAUAUUGGAAGGGUGAAAGGCUCUUCUAUGCACGAGUGCAUAAUAUGUUAUCAAUUGGCAUCAGCAAACUAGCUAGGAACUACAAUCAGUUUCUUUAUAUAUGGCUGUGUCAAGCUUCAUGUAUUUCCGAAAGGUUGCCUACACUAUUUGCAAGGUCGCUCACAAGGAAAAAUGUAGUGGUCUAUCAUACGGAGAAAAUGUAACAAAAUGGUUUUUGAAGGGUGAUAAUCUAGGUAUUUUUUUAUUCGUCCUUUAAUAAUUUGGAUAAUAAUCUUAUGAGCAGAUUGUUUCAAUAACUUUUUAUAUUUCAUUAUCACAUGUAAUACAUCAAAUUUUGGUUAUAAGGGAAUAUUUAGAGAUUUUUGAUUA
Molecule: long non-coding RNA, 1634 nt
Organism: Helianthus annuus (common sunflower)
Lineage: Eukaryota; Viridiplantae; Streptophyta; Magnoliopsida; Asterales; Asteraceae
Exons: 15
Source: RefSeq, a predicted model, not a curated record